UGAGGAAUAUUCUGCAAUGGGCGAAAGCCUGACAGAGCAAUACCGCGUGAGGGAUGAAGGCCUAUGGGUUGUAAACCUCUUUUCCCAAGGAAGAAGAUCUGACGUUACUUGGGGAAUAAGCAUCGGCUAACCCUGUGCCAGCAGCCGCGGUAAUACAGGGGAUGCAAGUGUUAUCCGGAAUUAUUGGGCGUAAAGCGCCUGCAGGUUGAUAUUUAAGUCUUUUGUUAAAUCUUUGAGCUUAACUCAAAAGGUGCAAAGGAAACUGAUUAUCUAGAGUAUGGUAGAGGUAAAGGGAAUUUCCAGUGGAGCGGUGAAAUGCGUAGAGAUUGGAAAGAACACCAAUGGCGAAGGCACUUUACUGGGCCAGUACUGACACUCAGAGGCGAAAGCUAGGGGAGCA
Molecule: ribosomal RNA, 400 nt
Filed under: uncultured bacterium
Lineage: Bacteria
Description: bacterial SSU rRNA
Rfam family: Bacterial small subunit ribosomal RNA
Source: RNAcentral